This 262-nucleotide ribosomal RNA is filed under the name uncultured archaeon. RNAcentral's name for it is "partial 16S ribosomal RNA". It matches the Rfam family "Archaeal small subunit ribosomal RNA", at positions 748 to 1009 of the family's 1478-position model. The record is from RNAcentral.
CAGCCGUAAACUAUGCGCGUUAGGUGUAUCGGUGACCACGAGUCACCGAGGUGCCGAAGGGAAACCGUGAAACGUGCCGCCUGGGAAGUACGGUCGCAAGGCUGAAACUUAAAGGAAUUGGCGGGGGGAGCACAACAACGGGUGGAGCCUGCGGUUUAAUUGGACUCAACGCCGGGAAGCUCACCGGAUAGGACAGCAGAAUGAUUGCCGGGCUGAAGACCCUGCAUGACUAGCUGAGAGGAGGUGCAUGGCGUAGACGUCU